CUGGUGUAGACAGCAAGAUUGCUUCGCGUGCUCUCCGUGCGAUGUGGGGUGGUCUAUAUAAAGCAGCGUCGCCCACGCGCCCGCCUCACCUGGGCUGGCCCCAAGAAUGCUUCCACACUUUUCUUUCUUUUCCAUUUAUAUCACAUUUUGUCCAUUUUUCUCUGCAUACAUAUUAGUGUGUUUUGGGUCAAAUAUGCCAAUACUUUUCAUAUAAGUUUCAAAAACGGAAAUGCUAAUUUUCAUCCGGCUGAAAUCUUUUCGCAUUCAUCCGUUUUUCUGCUCGUUCGAUCCUUGUGUCAUGAUUCGUGAUUUCCUCUCUUUUUUUUUCCCUACCUCGGGGUGUUUUGUUUGUUAUCGGGCCCGCAACCUUCUCCUGGAGACCCGUUAAUCGGGGCGGGUAGCGUGUCGCAGACGGGUUUUUCCCUCGAAUUUCCUUUUUUUUCUCCUCUGCUGACUUUGUCCGUUUUCUUCCCCAUUUCCAGCGGCGCGAGCUUGAUGCAUUGAUUCAUGGCGAAUUUUGGCAAGAGAUCUCAGUCGCCGAUCUCUCGAGGGCGAGCCGGUGGCUAGGCAUCCGGUCCUCCUCCCCCCUCCCCCCUCCCAUCCCCUGCUUCCUUGUCCUCAAACGCACGCAGAGGGAGAGGCGAAAUCGAUGCCAUGGUGAUCCGGCUGCGUUGUCUUCUCUGCUUCGCUUGACUUCGCGCCACUCCUCAUCUUCCUCGUGUGGAUCUGCGAACCCUGUGUACCCCUCCUCAUCCUCCAUCCAUGGUUGGUUUUGAUUUGUUAAUGCUAUAAGAGAGACAUACAUUGAGGAACUUAGCUUCAUCAUGUUCGAGGUACAAGUUCUGGCCCUUCAUGCUUGUUUCCAUCCCAUUUGAUUCCAUUGCAGGCACCUGUAAAUGUAAAAAUGUAUAUAAGCAUUGUUCUGUUAAUCUUGAAACAUGUACUGUCUGCUUGUACAUGUGUUUGCCCCUUUUUGUCAGUUGAUAGGCUUAAUUGAUAUGAAAUUGAUCAUUUUAUUACUUCCUAUGUGUACUCAUUUGUAUUUACAAAUAGUAGUUUGUAGCAAUUUGAACUUCAAGUAGGAAAGAAAGGUCUUUCUAUGUAGUUCCAAAGUUUAUAAAAUUCAGUCCUAGUUUCUUUACUUUCUUGUAAAUGAGUUAUUUUGUAAUCAUGAUCUAAGCUUCUGAUUAGUGUAUAGUUUGUGUGUGCCAAAGUUUCUGAAUUACAGUCCUAGCUUUAUAAAAAUAGCAUUUCUAACCUGUUUGUUCAAGGAUUUUCCUAACUUUUUGUAUUUUAUCUCCCAGAACAUGUGAUCCCUAUCUUUUUUAUACUCAUUUCCAUGUGCUGUAACUGUUGUUUUCAAUUCAGGAACUUCCUAGUAGUUCUGAAAUUCACGAUUUUAACAUGGAUUUUUUGUUUCCUAACCUUUCUGCUCGUGCACCCCUAGACUCAUAGGAUCCUAGGGUUCUUCCUGGAUCUAGUUUAAUUCUUGGUUCUAGUGUAAACUUCCAGAAUUCCUUUUUUUUAGUUUAUUUGUCUCUGCAGCAUGUAUAUAUAAUGGUUCACAGCCGCCCUUUAUUUGAUUUCUGAUGUAGACAGGCAGGGGAGAGAGAUCUGUCUAAAUCAUACUUAGUAUGUGGUGAUUGCAAAGUUGGGGCUGUUUACCUGUGUUUAGUCAUCUUCAGCAGAGUGGAUCAUCUUCAGGUUUCUGUCCCAGAUCAUGGAGGAAUCGCCCUCUUGGUUGGCGCUUAUUCCCGUUUCCUCUAGCUAUUCUCCCCCCUCCAUGUUCUUCCCCUCUGCAGUGCAUUUUUGUAGUGGAUAUUACACUGAAAAUAAUAGUGGAAUUAUUAUUGUAAUUUUAUAGCUUUUCAAUGUAAUUUUUAGUGCUCCAGAGCUUAAUUUGUCAUGUCAUUUUAGGUGUGUGUGCUUAGAUGACAUCAUCCUGAUCCUUUCCUUUUCUUUUCAUAUUGCUUUAGCUUAGUGCACAUGUACAUGGUAAAGCUUGCCUGUAACUUUGCUUCUCUGUCCGAGCGGGAAAAGUUGGGUUGUGGACCCGUUAAGAUCAUGAUGCUGGUGGUGUUUAAGAGUUGGUGUGUGGACCCGUUUAA
Triticum aestivum (bread wheat) is the source of this 2108-nucleotide long non-coding RNA. RefSeq lists it as uncharacterized. The transcript is spliced from 2 exons. Lineage: Eukaryota; Viridiplantae; Streptophyta; Magnoliopsida; Poales; Poaceae. The record is from RefSeq and is a predicted model, not a curated record.